UACGGAGGUGGCGAGCGUUACUCGGAUUUACUGGGUGUAAAGGGUAUGUAGGUGGCUGAGUAAGUCGAAUGUGAAAUCCCACAGCUUAACUGUGGAACUGCAUUCGAAACUACUCGGCUUGAGUACAGGAGAGGAGAAUGGAAUUCCCGGUGUAACAGUGAAAUGUGUAGAGAUCGGGAGGAACACCAGUGGCGAAAGCGAUUCUCUGGCCUGAAACUGACACUGAAAUACGAAAGCUUGGGGAG
RNAcentral lists this ribosomal RNA (245 nucleotides) under uncultured bacterium. Its description in RNAcentral is "partial 16S ribosomal RNA". It matches the Rfam family "Bacterial small subunit ribosomal RNA", at positions 524 to 768 of the family's 1533-position model. The record is from RNAcentral.